Long non-coding RNA from Salvia miltiorrhiza (redroot sage), 804 nucleotides. RefSeq lists it as uncharacterized. The record is from RefSeq and is a predicted model, not a curated record. Lineage: Eukaryota; Viridiplantae; Streptophyta; Magnoliopsida; Lamiales; Lamiaceae. The transcript has 3 exons.
UCAAGAUACUGAAGGAUUUUAUUAAUCACAUCAACUUUACACUUACAAACACCAUCUCUCUCACUCCUAGCUACUCUAGACUAUCCCAUUACAUCAAGAAGAAGAAAAAGGAAAAAGGGGCGUGCGUGAGGGAGUGAAGAAUAGCUGUGACAGCAGCUCACCCCCUCCCCUUCCCUCUGUAGCAGCAGUUCGGCCAUGCCAAGGUACAUCUAGGGGUCUUUCAGCCACCCCUAUGACUGCCACAACCUAUCCACCCACUGCAGCCUCAAAGCUAUCAGCCAACAUCCACCCUUAUACAACCCAGCCAUCAACUUUUUCAAGCUCCCUUAACAGAAUUCGAAGAAAGAGAGAAGGGAUGAAACUUCUGCCAAAACUCCAAGGUAAACCUUGGCUCUAAUCCCUCCACUUCCUUCUUGAAUUUUCAGCCUGCAUUCAAUAUGAAAACAAUCCACAAUUCAUUUCAGUUCCUAUCCUCUGGAUUCAACAACAGCAGCAGCCAACCAUGCACCAAACAUUCGCAAAGCAUUCAAGGUCAAGUAGGCGAGUAAAAGCUAGUCAGGAGUCACUAAGAUAUGACAAAGGUUUGCUUAUCAGGUUGAGCAAUGGUUGAUGAAGAUGAAGUGAGGAGCGGAGCUUUUGUCAUAAGUUGAUUGAAUAAACUCUUGGAUACAUGUCUUCAUACAUGUAAUCAGAUUAUUAUUUCCGCUGCGUAUUCUUAAGUAAUAAGCCUUUUGAAUUAAGUCGGAUUCAUCCGAACUUACUAGUUAAUUGAAUCUUUGUGGCUAAACAUAAGUUACAUUAUAA